GACGAACGCUGGCGGCGUGCUUAACACAUGCAAGUCGAACGGAAAGGCCCUGCUUUUGUGGGGUGCUCGAGUGGCGAACGGGUGAGUAACACGUGAGUAACCUGCCCUUCACUUUGGGAUAACUUCAGGAAACUGGGGCUAAUACCGGAUAGGAGCUCCUGCUGCAUGGUGGGGGUUGGAAAGUUUCGGCGGUUGGGGAUGGACUCGCGGCUUAUCAGCUUGUUGGUGGGGUAGUGGCUUACCAAGGGUUUGACGGGUAGCCGGCCUGAGAGGGUGACCGGCCACAUUGGGACUGAGAUACGGCCCAGACUCCUACGGGAGGCAGCAGUGGGGAAUAUUGCACAAUGGGCGGAAGCCUGAUGCAGCAACGCCGCGUGCGGGAUGACGGCCUUCGGGUUGUAAACCGCUUUCGCCUGUGACGAAGCGUGAGUGACGGUAAUGGGUAAAGAAGCACCGGCUAACUACGUG
This 468-nucleotide ribosomal RNA is filed under the name uncultured bacterium. RNAcentral's name for it is "partial 16S ribosomal RNA". It matches the Rfam family "Bacterial small subunit ribosomal RNA", at positions 28 to 507 of the family's 1533-position model. The record is from RNAcentral.